This 343-nucleotide ribosomal RNA is filed under the name uncultured eukaryote. Its description in RNAcentral is "SSU rRNA". It matches the Rfam family "Eukaryotic small subunit ribosomal RNA", at positions 594 to 945 of the family's 1831-position model. The record is from RNAcentral.
AAAAUGCAUAGAACCAUUGCUGCGGUUAAAAAGCUCGUAGUUGGAUCUGUGCCGGCGACGUGGUCCCACCGAAAGGCGGGCACUGCGCUCGUCGGCUUUGGGCCGGUCUUCGUGCGGUCGCCUUCGCCGGCGGCCGUGCGUGGCUGGCUGGUUUACUUUGAGCAAAUCAGAGUGCUCAGCACAGGCGUUUCGCCGGAAUGUUCGUGCAUGGAAUAAUGGAAAGGAUUUCGGUCCUCUUUUAUUGGUUUUGUGGACUGAGAUAAUGGUUAACAGAGACGAACGGGGGCAUUCGUAUUGCUGCGUGAGAGGUGAAAUUCUUGGACCGCAGCAGGACGGACUACAG